GAUGAACGCUCGCUACAGGCUUAACACAUGCAAGUCGAGCGAAGUUUUUCUGGUGCUUGCACUAGAAAAACUUAGCGGCGAACGGGUGAGUAACACGUAAAGAACCUGCCUCAUAGACUGGGACAACUAUUGGAAACGAUAGCUAAUACCGGAUAACAGUAUUUCUCGCAUGAGAGAUAUUUAAAAGUUGGUUAUGCUAACACUAUGAGAUGGCUUUGCGGUGCAUUAGCUAGUUGGUGGGGUAAAGGCCCACCAAGGCGACGAUGCAUAGCCGACCUGAGAGGGUGAUCGGCCACACUGGGACUGAGACACGGCCCAGACUCCUACGGGAGGCAGCAGUAGGGAAUCUUCCGCAAUGGGCGAAAGCCUGACGGAGCAACGCCGCGUGAGUGAAGAAGGAUUUCGGUUCGUAAAGCUCUGUUGUUAGGGAAGAAUGGAUAUGUAGUAACUAUACAUGUAAGAGACGGUACCUAACCAGAAAGCCACGGCUAACUACGUG
Molecule: ribosomal RNA, 499 nt
Filed under: uncultured bacterium
Lineage: Bacteria
Description: partial 16S ribosomal RNA
Rfam family: Bacterial small subunit ribosomal RNA
Source: RNAcentral